AAUCAACGCUGGCGGCGUGCCUAACACAUGCAAGUCGAACGCGAAAGUCCCGCAAGGGAUGAGUAGAGUGGCAAACGGGUGAGUAACGCGUGGGUGACCUGCCUUCGAGUGGGGGAUAACGCUCCGAAAGGGACGCUAAUACCGCAUGACAUCCUGCUUUUGAAGGGGUGGAGAUCAAAGCCGGGGAUCGCAAGACCUGGCGCUCGAAGAGGGGCCCGCGUCCGAUUAGCUAGNGGUGGGGUAACGGCUCACCAAGGCUCCGAUCGGUAUCCGGCCUGAGAGGGCGGACGGACACACUGGGACUGAGACACGGCCCAGACUCCUACGGGAGCAGCAGUGGGGAAUUGUUCGCAAUGGGCGCAAGCCUGACGACGCAACGCCGCGUGGAGGAUGAAGAUCUU
Molecule: ribosomal RNA, 401 nt
Filed under: uncultured bacterium
Lineage: Bacteria
Description: bacterial SSU rRNA
Rfam family: Bacterial small subunit ribosomal RNA
Source: RNAcentral